UCCGGUUUGUCACCGGCAGUCUCGCAUGAGUCCCCAACUAAAUGCUGGCAACAUGCGACAGGGGUUACGCUCGUUGCGGGACUUAACCCAACAUCUCACGACACGAGCUGACGACAGCCAUGCAGCACCUGUCACCGGUCCAGCCGAACUGAAGGAUACGAUCUCUCGUAUCCGCGACCGGGAUGUCAAGGGCUGGUAAGGUUCUGCGCGUUGCUUCGAAUUAAUCCGCAUGCUCCGCCGCUUGUGCGGGUCCCCGUCAAUUCCUUUGAGUUUUAGCCUUGCGGCCGUACUCCCCAGGCGGGGCGCUUAAUGCGUUAGCUACGGCACAGAGACCGUGGAAUGGCCCCCACACCUAGCGCCCAACGUUUACGGCGUGGACUAC
RNAcentral lists this unclassified non-coding RNA (382 nucleotides) under uncultured bacterium. RNAcentral's name for it is "contains 16S-23S intergenic spacer region". The record is from RNAcentral.